Molecule: ribosomal RNA, 635 nt
Filed under: Agrilus quadrisignatus
Lineage: Eukaryota; Metazoa; Arthropoda; Insecta; Coleoptera; Buprestidae
Description: partial 16S ribosomal RNA
Rfam family: Bacterial large subunit ribosomal RNA
Source: RNAcentral
UUAACAAAAACAUGUCCUUUUGAUUAUUAUUUAAGGUCUAAUCUGCCCAAUGAUAAAUUGAAUGGCCGCGAUAUUUUGAUCGUGCGAAGGUAGCAUAAUCAUUAGUUUUCUAAUUGGAAGCUGGUAUGAAAGAUUGGACGAGGGGCUUUCUGUCUCUGUUUUAUUGUUUGAAUUUUAUUUUUGAGUAAGAAAGCUUAAAUUUUUUUGUUAGACGAGAAGACCCUAUAGAGUUUUAUAUUUUAAAUUUUAAAUGAGUUGUAGAAUGAAAACUUUUUAAGUUUAUAAAAUAUUUAGUUGGGGUGACGGAAAAAUUUAAUAAACUUUUUCUUUUUUAAAUAUUAAUAAAUAGUUUUUUGACUUAGUUAUUUUAGUUAUAAGAUUUAAUUACCUUAGGGAUAACAGCGUAAUUUUUCUAAAGAGUUCAUAUCGAAAGAAAAGAUUGCGACCUCGAUGUUGGAUUAAAGUUAAAAUUUGGUGUAGAAGCUACUUGUUUUAGUCUGUUCGACUAUUAAAACUUUACAUGAUCUGAGUUUAAACCGGCGUGAGCCAGGUUGGUUUCUAUCUUCAAUAUUUUAAAAUAUUUUAGUACGAAAGGACCAAGUAUUUUUAAAAAUUAAUUUAUUUUGAUUAAUAUU